This 230-nucleotide ribosomal RNA is filed under the name uncultured bacterium. RNAcentral's name for it is "partial 16S ribosomal RNA". It matches the Rfam family "Bacterial small subunit ribosomal RNA", at positions 562 to 791 of the family's 1533-position model. The record is from RNAcentral.
AAAGGGUCCGCAGGCGGAUUUAUAAGUCAGUGGUGAAAGCCUACAGCUCAACUGUAGAACUGCCAUUGAUACUGUAAGUCUUGAAUUCGGUCGAAGUGGGCGGAAUAUGACAUGUAGCGAUGAAAUGCUUAGAUAUGUCAUAGAACACCGAUAGCGAAGGCAGCUCACUAGGCCUGGAUUGACGCUCAGGGACGAAAGCGUGGGGAGCAAACAGGAUUAGAUACCCUUGU